This 230-nucleotide ribosomal RNA is filed under the name uncultured bacterium. Its description in RNAcentral is "partial 16S ribosomal RNA". It matches the Rfam family "Bacterial small subunit ribosomal RNA", at positions 118 to 350 of the family's 1533-position model. The record is from RNAcentral.
UGGGCAACCUGCCCUCAGCUCUGGGACAACUCCGGGAAACCGGGGCUAAUACCGGAUAUGACAUGUCCCCGCAUGGGGGUGUGUGGAAAGUUUUUCGGCUGAGGAUGGGCCCGCGGCCUAUCAGCUUGUUGGUGGGGUGAUGGCCUACCAAGGCGACGACGGGUAGCCGGCCUGAGAGGGUGUCCGGCCACACUGGGACUGAGAUACGGCCCAGACUCCUACGGGAGGCA